GGGUUGUGAGGUUAAGCGACUAAGCGUACACGGUGGAUGCCCUGGCAGUCAGAGGCGAUGAAGGACGUGCUAAUCUGCGAUAAGCGUCGGUAAGGUGAUAUGAACCGUUAUAACCGGCGAUUUCCGAAUGGGGAAACCCAGUGUGAUUCGUCACACUAUCAUUAACUGAAUCCAUAGGUUAAUGAGGCGAACCGGGGGAACUGAAACAUCUAAGUACCCCGAGGAAAAGAAAUCAACCGAGAUUCCCCCAGUAGCGGCGAGCGAACGGGGAGCAGCCCAGAGCCUGAAUCAGUGUGUGUGUUAGUGGAAGCGUCUGGAAAGGCGUGCGAUACAGGGUGACAGCCCCGUACACAAAAAUGCACAUACUGUGAGCUCGAUGAGUAGGGCGGGACACGUGGUAUCCUGUCUGAAUAUGGGGGGACCAUCCUCCAAGGCUAAAUACUCCUGACUGACCGAUAGUGAACCAGUACCGUGAGGGAAAGGCGAAAAGAACCCCGGCGAGGGGAGUGAAAAAGAACCUGAAACCGUGUACGUACAAGCAGUGGGAGCACGCUUAGGCGUGUGACUGCGUACCUUUUGUAUAAUGGGUCAGCGACUUAUAUUCUGUAGCAAGGUUAACCGAAUAGGGGAGCCGAAGGGAAACCGAGUCUUAACUGGGCGUUAAGUUGCAGGGUAUAGACCCGAAACCCGGUGAUCUAGCCAUGGGCAGGUUGAAGGUUGGGUAACACUAACUGGAGGACCGAACCGACUAAUGUUGAAAAAUUAGCGGAUGACUUGUGGCUGGGGGUGAAAGGCCAAUCAAACCGGGAGAUAGCUGGUUCUCCCCGAAAGCUAUUUAGGUAGCGCCUCGUGAAUUCAUCUCCGGGGGUAGAGCACUGUUUCGGCAAGGGGGUCAUCCCGACUUACCAACCCGAUGCAAACUGCGAAUACCGGAGAAUGUUAUCACGGGAGACACACGGCGGGUGCUAACGUCCGUCGUGAAGAGGGAAACAACCCAGACCGCCAGCUAAGGUCCCAAAGUCAUGGUUAAGUGGGAAACGAUGUGGGAAGGCCCAGACAGCCAGGAUGUUGGCUUAGAAGCAGCCAUCAUUUAAAGAAAGCGUAAUAGCUCACUGGUCGAGUCGGCCUGCGCGGAAGAUGUAACGGGGCUAAACCAUGCACCGAAGCUGCGGCAGCGACGCUUAUGCGUUGUUGGGUAGGGGAGCGUUCUGUAAGCCUGUGAAGGUGUGCUGUGAGGUAUGCUGGAGGUAUCAGAAGUGCGAAUGCUGACAUAAGUAACGAUAAAGCGGGUGAAAAGCCCGCUCGCCGGAAGACCAAGGGUUCCUGUCCAACGUUAAUCGGGGCAGGGUGAGUCGACCCCUAAGGCGAGGCCGAAAGGCGUAGUCGAUGGGAAACAGGUUAAUAUUCCUGUACUUGGUGUUACUGCGAAGGGGGGACGGAGAAGGCUAUGUUGGCCGGGCGACGGUUGUCCCGGUUUAAGCGUGUAGGCUGGUUUUCCAGGCAAAUCCGGAAAAUCAAGGCCGAGGCGUGAUGACGAGGCACUACGGUGCUGAAGCAACAAAUGCCCUGCUUCCAGGAAAAGCCUCUAAGCAUCAGGUAACAUCAAAUCGUACCCCAAACCGACACAGGUGGUCAGGUAGAGAAUACCAAGGCGCUUGAGAGAACUCGGGUGAAGGAACUAGGCAAAAUGGUGCCGUAACUUCGGGAGAAGGCACGCUGAUACGUAGGUGAAGCGACUUGCUCGUGGAGCUGAAAUCAGUCGAAGAUACCAGCUGGCUGCAACUGUUUAUUAAAAACACAGCACUGUGCAAACACGAAAGUGGACGUAUACGGUGUGACGCCUGCCCGGUGCCGGAAGGUUAAUUGAUGGGGUUAGCGCAAGCGAAGCUCUUGAUCGAAGCCCCGGUAAACGGCGGCCGUAACUAUAACGGUCCUAAGGUAGCGAAAUUCCUUGUCGGGUAAGUUCCGACCUGCACGAAUGGCGUAAUGAUGGCCAGGCUGUCUCCACCCGAGACUCAGUGAAAUUGAACUCGCUGUGAAGAUGCAGUGUACCCGCGGCAAGACGGAAAGACCCCGUGAACCUUUACUAUAGCUUGACACUGAACAUUGAGCCUUGAUGUGUAGGAUAGGUGGGAGGCUUUGAAGUGUGGACGCCAGUCUGCAUGGAGCCGACCUUGAAAUACCACCCUUUAAUGUUUGAUGUUCUAACGUGGACCCGUGAUCCGGGUUGCGGACAGUGUCUGGUGGGUAGUUUGACUGGGGCGGUCUCCUCCUAAAGAGUAACGGAGGAGCACGAAGGUUGGCUAAUCCUGGUCGGACAUCAGGAGGUUAGUGCAAUGGCAUAAGCCAGCUUGACUGCGAGCGUGACGGCGCGAGCAGGUGCGAAAGCAGGUCAUAGUGAUCCGGUGGUUCUGAAUGGAAGGGCCAUCGCUCAACGGAUAAAAGGUACUCCGGGGAUAACAGGCUGAUACCGCCCAAGAGUUCAUAUCGACGGCGGUGUUUGGCACCUCGAUGUCGGCUCAUCACAUCCUGGGGCUGAAGUAGGUCCCAAGGGUAUGGCUGUUCGCCAUUUAAAGUGGUACGCGAGCUGGGUUUAGAACGUCGUGAGACAGUUCGGUCCCUAUCUGCCGUGGGCGCUGGAGAACUGAGGGGGGCUGCUCCUAGUACGAGAGGACCGGAGUGGACGCAUCACUGGUGUUCGGGUUGUCAUGCCAAUGGCACUGCCCGGUAGCUAAAUGCGGAAGAGAUAAGUGCUGAAAGCAUCUAAGCACGAAACUUGCCCCGAGAUGAGUUCUCCCUGACCCUUUAAGGGUCCUGAAGGAACGUUGAAGACGACGACGUUGAUAGGCCGGGUGUGUAAGCGCAGCGAUGCGUUGAGCU
Molecule: ribosomal RNA, 2880 nt
Filed under: Shigella flexneri
Lineage: Bacteria; Pseudomonadati; Pseudomonadota; Gammaproteobacteria; Enterobacterales; Enterobacteriaceae
Description: partial 23S ribosomal RNA
Rfam family: Bacterial large subunit ribosomal RNA
Source: RNAcentral